GGCUCUUUCUGCAUUUCUUCUUACAAAAAUUAGUCAUAGUGGAUUAUGGUCUACCCUAGUGACCUCAUUUUAGCAUAAUUACCCCCUUAAGACCCUCUCUCUAAAUAAUAUAAGUCAUGUUCUGAGGUGCUAGGGGUUAAGACUUCAACAUGUGAAUUUUGAGGGGACAUAGCCUAUAGCACAGGCAUGCAGAGAGGCAGAAAAAUAUGACAUGUAUAUAAUGAAGAGAGUAAUCAAUGAAAACCAAUUGAGUACUGAUACACACAUUAGUAUUUGCACAGAAGGAUAUUAAAACACUUACUGAAAUUGUAUUCCAUAUGUUCCAGAAGUUAAGUGGAGUCAAGGAAAAUCUGAAGUUACCCAAAUUGAAUUUCUAAAGAUGAAAACCACAAUGUGUGAGGUGAAGGUUACACUGAAGGGAAUUAUACUGAAGGGUAGAUUAAACACUGCUAAGGAAAGGAGUCGGCUGGGUGCUGUGGCUCACUCCUGUAAUCCCAGCACUUUGGGAGGCUGAGGUGGGCAGAUCACCUGAGGUCAAACUCGACAUGGAGAAACCCUGUUUCUACUAAAAAUACAAAGUUAGCCAGGCAUGGUGGCGCAUGCCUGUAAUCCCAGUUACUCAGGAGGCUGAGGCAGGAGAAUCGCUUGAAGGUGGAGGCCGGAGGUGGAGGUUGUAGUGAGCCAAGAUCGCACCAUUGCAUUCAAGCCCGGGCAACAAGAGCGAAACUCCAUCUAAAAAAAAAAGAAGAAGAAGAUGAAGAAAGGAGUCAACUAUUCAACGUGAAACAUGGGGAAAAGAGAACCAAACACAUUUUUAAAAGCAUCAUUACGAGGCCGGGUAUGGUGGCACACAUCUGUACUUCUACCAUGCCUGUAAUUCCACUACACCUGUAAUUCUGGCACUUCGGAAGGAUAAAAAAGGAGGAUCGCUUGACCCCAGGAAUCUGAGACCAGCCUGGGCAACAAAGGGAGACCUCGUCUAGGAAAAAAAAGAAAACUAUUAGCUGGGCGUCGUGUGCGCACCUGUGAUCCCAGCUACUUGGGAGGCUAAGGUGGGAGGAUAGCUUGAGCCUAGGAGGUCAGUGCUGCAUGAACCAUGAUCAAACCACUGCACUGUGGUUUGGGCAAGAGAAUGAGACCCUGUCUCAAAAAAAUUUUUAAAAGCAUCGGUAUGUUAUAGGACAACUUCAGGCAGCCUAUUAUAUUGAUAAUUAAAGUCCCCAAAGAAGGGGGAAAGGGGCAGAAAAAUAUUUGAAGAAAUAGGGGCCAGAAACUUUACAAGCUUGCUGAGAACUGUCAACGCACUGCCAAGAAGCUUAAUUAAUCUGCAUGGGAAACAUGAAGCACUACACCAAGGUGCUCAUAAUCAAAUUGCUCAAAACCAGCAAUAAAGAAAAAAAGCCUUCAAACCAACCAGAGGAAAAAGACAUAAUGUGCACACAAGAACAAAGAUAUGGCCAACAGAAGAUUUCUUAUCAGAAAAGAAAAGCAAGGAAGAAGCCAGUGAAGUAACAUCUUUAUUUAUUUAUUUAUUUUUGAGACGGAGUUUUGCUCUUGUUACCCAGGCUGGAGCGCAAUGGCGCAAUCUCAGCUCACUGCAACCUCCGCCUCCCGGGUUCAGGCAAUUCUUCUGCCUCAGCCUCCUGAGUAGCUGGGAUUACAGGCAUGCGCCACCAUGCCCAGCUAAUUUUUUGUAUUUUUGGUAGAAACAGGGUUUCACCAUGUUGACCAGGAUGGUCUCAAUCUCUUGACCUCGUGAUCCACCCGCCUCGGCCUCCCAAAGUGCUGGGAUUACAGGCUUGAGCCACCGCGCCCGGCCCCAUUUUUAAAUUUUUUUUUUUUUUUGAGACAGAGUCUCACUCUGUAGCCCAGGCUGGAGUGUAGUGGCACAGUCUUGGCUCACUGCAAACUUCACCUCCCAGGUUCAAGCGAUUCUCCUGCCUCAGCCUUUCAAGUAGCUGGGAUUACACUCACCCACCCCCACACUGGCUAAUUUUUGUAUUUUUAAUAGAGAAAGCGUUUUACCAUGUUGGCCAGGCUAGGCUGGAACUCCUGACCUCAGAUGAUCCACCCACCCCAGCUUCCCAAAAUGCUGGGAUUACAAGUGUGAGCCACUGCGCCUGGCUUUGAAGCAGCAUCUUUAAAGCUGUUAUGCUAUAUAGUAAUGCCGCUUAAUAAGAGGAACACCUUCUGAGGAACGUGUUGUUAGGCAAGUCCCAAGAUGCUGGGAUUCCAGUGAGCCACUGCGCCUGGUCUUGAAGCCACAUGUUUAAAGCUCUCAUGCCAUGUGGUGCACUUUCUGAGGAACGCAUUGUUAGGCAAGUGCAUUGUCAAGUGAACAUCAGAGUGUAUUUAUACAAAUGUAGGCGGUACAGCCUAUUACACGCCCAGGCUAUGUGGUAAGGCCUGUUGCUCCCAGGCUGCAAACCUGCACGGCAUGAUAUUUCACUGAGUCCUGUAGGCAGUUGUGACACAAUGUUAAGUAUUUGUCUAUCUACACAUAGAAAAGGUACAGUGAAAAUACAAUAAAAAAGGCCGAGUGCGGUGGUUCAUGCCUGUAAUCCCUGCACUUUGGGAGGCUGAGAUCGGCAGAUCAUGAGGUCAGGAGAUCGAGACCAUCCUGCCUAACACUGUGAAAACCCGUCUCUACUAAAAAUACAAAGAAUUAGCCAGGUGUGAAGGAGCGUGCCUGGAGUUCCAGCUACUUGGGAGACUGAGACAGGAAAAUCACUUGAACCCACGAGGCAGAGGUUGCGGUGAGCUGAGAUCACGCCACUGCACUCCAGUCUGGGUGACACAGUGAGACUCUGUCUCAAAAAAAAAGAAAAUACAAUAAAAAAGAUAAAAAACAGUACAAUAGGUCGGGCGCGGUGGCUCACGCCUAUAAUCCCAGGACUUUGGGAGGCUGAGGCGGGUGGAUCAUGAGGUCAAGAGAUAGAGACCAUCCUGGUCAACAAGGUGAAACACCACCUCUACUAAAAAUACAAAAAUUAGCUGGGCAUGGUGGCGCGUGCCUGUAGUCCCAGCUACUUGGGAGACUGAGGCAGGAGAAUUGCUUGAACACAGGAGGCGGAGGUUGCAGUGAGCCGAGGUCGCGCCAUUGCACUCCAGCCUGGGUAACAAGAGUGAAACUCUGCCUCAAAAAAAAAAACAAAAAACAGUACAAUAUAGGGCACUUACCAUGAUUGGAGCUUGCAGGACUUGAGAUUGCCUUGGGUGUCAGUGAGUGAGUGGUGAGUGAAUAUGAAGGCUUAAGACAUGAAUAUACAUUUUUAUACAGUUGGCAGUGGUUUGUUUAUACCAUAUCACUACAGAUGUGAGUAAUGUCUUGCAUUAUGAUGUUACAGCCAUGACAUAAGGCAGUAAGAAUUUUUUAGCUCCAUUAUAAUCAUGUGGGACAACCAUUGUAUAAGUGGUCCAUUGUUGGCUGAAACGCCAUUAUGCAGUUCGCAUGACUACUGAAAGAAUAAGGUAUCCGCCUAAAGUUCUUUACCAGGUGAAAAUAUCUUUGUAUGUUGUUCCUCCCACCCCCAAAGUAUCUUCAAAGGCAAAAUAGUAAAAGUUUUCAGAUAUUAAAAAAAGCUGAAAGAGGACCAGGCGUGGUGGUGGCUCAAGUCUGUAAUCCCAACACUUUGGGAGGCCGAGAUGGAAGGAUCACUUGAGCCCGGGAGUUCCAGACGAGCCUGGAAAACAGCCAGACUGGCUGUACCUGUGGUCCUAGCUGCUUGGGAGGCGGGAGGAUCACUUGAGCCCAGAAGGUGGAGGCUGCACUUCAGCCCGGGUGACAGAGUAAGACCUUGUCUCUUAAAAAAAAAGAAAGGCUGAGAUAAUUCAUUAUCCGCAGACCCGGGCUUUAAGAAAUGUUAAAGCCCAGGUAUGGUGGCUCAUGCGUAUAAUCCCAGCACUUUGGGAGGCCAAGGUGGUGGGACUGCUUGAGCCUAGGAAUUUGAGUCUGCAAUGAGCUAUGAGUGUGCCACUGUGCUCCAACUUGGGUUGAUAGAGCAAGAUCCCAUCUCUUAAAAAAAACAAAGAACAAGUGAAAUUACCACACAGAAUGAAAAUGAAGACACAUGUAUGCCCCUAACUCAUGCUUGAGGAAAAUACACAAAAAAGCCUUCAAAUAAUGACUUUAGUUUUCGUAUUAAAAAUCUAGGGGGCCAGGUACUGUGGCUUAUGCCUGCAAUCCCAACAAUUUGGGAGAGUGGGCAGUUGGAUCACUUGUGUCCAAGGACUUUGAGACCGGCUUGUGGUCCACAGUAUUUUGGACUACUUUUUUAUUGUCAGGCAGGGAAAUGAGAAAGUAAAUGUAGAGAACUGGAAUGAAGGUAACUUUGUAUAAUGGCUGAACCCUGAGACAGUGGCCUUCCUAUCAAGUUUCUAAGGUUGCUGCUUAGCAAAAUAAAAGCUUGGCAAUACUAGGUCAGUUCCCAUUUUGUAGAACAUUUUACGGGUUCAUGAAACAUAAAAUAUCUAGGAACCAGUUCUUUUGGGGAGUGUCAGGAAGCAGGGAGGGGUGUGUUGGGAGGCAUCACUCCUGAAGAGAGAUGAACAGGGUUGAAGAUGAAGCAGUUAAGAUGGUUACUAAGCAUUUCAUAACCAGGAGUUUUGGCUUUUAGAAAUCAGGCAUUUCUGUGCAUUAGAGCCUGCUGCUGCCUCCACUUUGGAAGUAGUGUUCUAAGGCUGGCCACAGUGAAAUCCAGUGCAGAGCUGCUACCCAGAUCCAAGAGCGUGUCCCACACCCGUAUGCAUUGCCCAUGGGGACAAGAUGGGACACAGACACGCCUUGGGGGCCUUUUGUGUAGGAACCGUGACUGCCAGAACGUAUCUCAGUCUGUGGUUUCUUCAGAGUAAGAAGGAUGUGUUUGCUAACCCUUUAAAUAGGAAUCUUCCUAUUUAGCUGAUCACUCCUGUUCUUUCUGGACUCACCAGUGUCUUUCAGAAAUAGCUUCUGGUAAGUUGGUGCUUGUUCAUGAUGGGAGGGAAGGAAGAGGAAGUAGAACAGUAAAGGCAGAACAAUUAAAAACAAGUGGUGAAGGGCCAGGUGCGGUGGCUCAUGCCUGUAAUUCCAGCAUUUUGGGAGGCUGAGGUGGGCAAAUUGCCCAAGGUCAGGAGUUUACAACCAGCCUGGGCAACACAGGUGAAACCCUGUCUCUACUAAAAUUAGAAAAAAAAGCCGAGCUUAGUGACGUGUCCCUGUAGCCCUAACUACUCAGGAGGCUGAGGGUAGAAUUGCUUGAACCCAGGAGGCAGAGGUUGCAGUGAGUGGAGAUCCUGCCACUGCACUCCAGCCUGGGGGACACAGUGAGACUCCAUCUCAAAAAUAAAAUAAACUAAAAUAAAAAUAACAUUGGUUGAGGACUGUGUACCUCAACAGAUUCCGUUUCCUUAAGUGUUUCUUUACAUGUGUGAAUUCAUGUCAUGCUUACAGCUGCCUCACGAGGUUGAUGGGUCGCCCUCUUUUCACAGAUGAGGAAGCGAAGGCAUGCAUAUGUAAGUAGCUUGCCCAGGGUCACACAGCCAUCCGGGUGGCAGACCUGUGCCAUCUCCAGUUCAUGCUCUAAUCACUGUGCUCUCCUGCCAUUACUUAGGGCUGUCUCUCUGAUACAUCCUGAAUAUUACAAGGGGAAAUUAUUGCUGAUUGAAAAUAUUGAUCAAGUGUCACUUGAGAGAAAUUAGUUUACUCACCAGCACAUUGCUUUCCUUCUCUGAUGGCACUGGUGACUCCGCAGCUGUGCUUGAGGGGUGGGCCUCUGAGAGCACAAACCUUCCGCAGAGCCUUCUCUCUGGGUUGGUGGCUUCCUCUGUGGCCCCCUUGUUGGCUUAGCACUUUCGACCCCCAGAGCUUUGGUCAUGCCUGGGAAGCUCUGGGAGCCAGCUGAAGGUGUAAAGAAGCAAAGCCUCUAGGGAGUCCUGUGCACCCCAGCAAUCAUUGGGGUGCAUGGGAGAUCUGAUGCAUCAUUGUGAUUCAGGGGAACCCCCAUGGUCAGUGCCGAGAGGCACUGAAAGCAUUGAAGGGUAAGUGUGUUCCGGUCCACUGUAAUCAAUUUAAGUAGGAAUUGCUGCAGUGGCUAUGUGCAUUUCCCCAAGAAGAUAACCUGGAAGCCCAGUCUUUUCAGAUAGGAAAAAACAAAGGGCAAGAAUCCAUUUAUAUCUAAAAAUGGAGGUGGGUGCCUGUAGUCCCAGCUACUCAGGAGGCUGAGGCAGGAGAAUCGCUUGAACCUGGGAGGCGGAGGUUGCAGUGAGCCAUGAUCAUGCCACUGCACUCCAGCCUGGGCAACAAGAGCAAAACUCCAUCUCCCAAAAAAAAAAAAAAAAAAAGUCCUUUGUUAACAAAAAGUCUACAGGGGCUUUUUUUUCUUUUUUCUUUUUCUUUUUUUUUUUUAACAGAGACAGAGAAACAGGGUCUUGCUGUGCUGCCCACACAGUCUCAUACUCCUGGCCUUAAGUGAUCCCCUUGCCUCAGACCCCCAGAGUGCUGGCAUUGCAGGGGUAAGCCACCAUGCCUGGCCAGAGCUCCUUUAAAGAGCAGGUUUUCCCAGUGUGAAGUUAUAAAAUGGCUUACUUCACAUGUUGUGCCUACAUGUGUAGUUAUUGAUACCUGAACACAACAUCCGUGCUCACUGGCACUCCUGGUUCGGGACCUCACCUUGAACUGAGACGCGGUCUCACAAUCUGCAUGGAAGUGACAUGUUGCUUCUGUAGGAAGAAGUGGUUAAGAGCAGGUGUGUGAUCCUUUGUGCCCUCUGCCCCUGCUGCAGCAAACCCGAAAGCCUUGUGUGGAGGUGGCAGCAUUGCAAAGUGACGGAGCUUCUGCAAGACAGGACCCUGAGUAACUGUUUAGUAGAACUCCAGCCAACCUGUGCUGGACGCAGAGCUAGAGGAAGAAAAACUGUUGUUCUUUAGGCCUCUUAGAUUUGGUAGCUGUUGCUGCAUUUUAACUUUAUCUACAAUGUAUAGAGAGCUUUUAAAACUUUACAACAAAACACCAAUUCAGAAAUGGCCUAGAAAUGAAGAGACGUUUCUCUAAAGACAGAUAGAUGACUUAUAAGCACAUGAAUAGAUGCUCAACAUUACUAAUCAUUAGAGAAAUGCAAAUCAAAACCACAAUGAGAUACCACCUCACACCAAUUAGGAUGGAUUUUUUUUUUUUUUUUUGACAGUCUUUCUCUGUCACCCAGGCAGGAGCACAGUGGUGCAAUCAUGGCUCACUACACCCUUGACCUCCCUGGCUCAAGUGGUCUUCCCAUUUCAGCCUCCUGAGUAGCUGGGACUGUAGGUGCAUGCUACCACACCUCGAUAGAUUUUUAAUUUUUUGUAGAGAGAGGGUCUCACUGUGUUGCCCAGGCUGAUCUCACACUCAUGAGUUCAAGCAAUCCUACCUCAGCCUUUAAAAGCACUGGGAUUACAGGUGUGAGCCACUGCGCCUGUCUGAAAAUGGCUAAUAAUUUUUUUUAAAAGAAAAUAAUAACUGUUGGCAAGGAUAUGGGAAAUUGGAACCCUUGCACACUGUUGGUGGGAAUAAAAAUGGUAUAGAAACUGGAAAAUAUGGCUGCCUCUUUAAAAAUUGAACAUAGAAUUACCAUAUAAUGCAGCAGCUGCGCUUCUGGAUAUCUACCAAAAAUAAUUGAAGACAGGGUCUCUAACAGCCAUUUAUUUGUACACCCAUGUUCAUAGCCACACUAUUCACAAUAGCUAAAACAUGGAAGCAACCCAGAUGGUGUCCAUCCACGGAUGAGUGGAUAAGGAAAACUUGGUGUAUCUGUAUGAUGGAAGGAAUUUCUGAAAUGCACUACAAUGUGAAUGAACCUUGAAGACAUAUGCCAAGUGAAGUAAGCCAGUCACAAAAAGACAAGUAUUGUUUGAUUCCGCUUACAUGAGGCACUAGAGUCAUUAAGGUACUGGAGGCAGAAAGUGGAAUGGCGGUUUCCGUGAGCUGGGGGUGGAGAACGGGAGUUACUGUUUAAUGAGUACAGAGUUUCAGCUUUGCAGGAUGGAAAGAGUUAUAGAGAUGGAUGGUGGUGGUGAUUACACAACACUAUGAACAUAUUACCACUCAAUUGUCCAUGUGAAAAUGGCUAUGACGAUAAAUUUUGUUAUGUGUAUUUUACUACAAUAAAAAAUUGGGAAAAAUGUGUAAAAUUUUUAAAAUUGCUGAAAUAUUUGUGGCAAUUUUUCUGUUCCUUAUUUCCCCUUCCUUAAUAUGAAUGGUCCCUCUUCCCACAAAACUGUAAACCCUUCCUGCCCCCUUCCAUGUCACUGUAUGAACACUUAUUUUUUGUUUUUUAAUGACUGCAUGUCAUCUCAGUGUAUGGAUGCACUAUCCCCUAUUAAAGAGAUGUGAAAUUUGUGUGCUGUAAUCCAUAGUUUUCUUGUAUACAAGCAACAGCAAUUAGUUGUAAGAUGUAAAGAGAAGACAAAUUCAAAAAACAUUCCUCAGAUUAUUCAUCUAACAGAAUUCCAAAUUUUAAAAUGCCUGUUUCUCUCUGGUUCAAUACAAGCUGAUUCUGAAGUUCAGAUGAAAAAAUAUACAGAGAUUUUGUACCAGGGGUAUAUUAAAAAAAGAAAAAAAUGACCAGAAGUGCCAUGAGCCUCUGAGGAAGAGUUGUGUGGAGUCUGGUCCAUGCUGCAAUGCUCAGCUUGGGAAUAACAGGCCCGUGUGACAGGACAGAGAUUCUUGAAAUAGACAAAUACACUUGGGAAUUUAAUUUGAGGUGAAGUUGGAGUAACCGUUGAGUGUAGUCAGGGUUGAUUUUGAUUGUUAAUUAAGAUUUUUGGGACAAUUGGGUAGCAUUUGAAAUAAAGUAAGUCUGUAUCCAUACCUUACCCUGUAACCAGGAUCCUUGUACAGACAGAUCAGAGGUAAAUGCAAACAAGAAACCAAGAAGUACUAGAAGAAAAUAGGAGUGAAAUUCUGAAGUCUUGAAAUGGAGGAGAGUUUUUUUUUUUUUUUUUUUUUUUUUUUGAGAGAGAGAGUUUGCUCUUGUUUUGCCCAAGCUGGAGUGCAAUGGUUUGGUCUCAGCUCACUGCAACCUCUGCCUCCCAGGUACAAGUAAUUCUUUUCCCUCAGCCUCCCCAGUAGCUGGGAUUGCAGGCACCUGCCUCCACACUCAGCUAAUUUUUGUAUUUUUAGUAGAGAUGUGGUUUCACCCUGUUGGUCAGGAUGGUCUCGAUCUCUUGACCUUGUGAUCCACCUAUCUCAGCCUCCCGAAGUGCUGGGAUUACAGGUGAGAGCCACCAUGCCCAGACAGGGCUCUCUAACUGUAUCUCAGAGUCCAAAUGCUAUUAAGAUGACUUAAAUUUGAUUUCAUAAUAUGAAAAAAAUCUGUAUCACAUAAAUAAUGACAAAAAUAUUUGAAACUCACGGGUAAAGAGGUAAUAAGAAUUUCUAGGAAUUGAAAAAAGUUCAAAGUCCAAUGAAAAAUAUGCAAAAGAUAGCACAAUUCAUUGAAAAACAGAAUCCUUCAACAUGUGAAUGAAUGCUUAACAAUAUUUAAUUUUGGCCAGGCGUGGUGGCUCACACCUGUAAUCCCAGCACUUUGAGAGGCUGAGGCAGGCAGAUCAUGAGGUCGAGAGAUCGAGACCCUCCUGGCCAACAUGGUGAAACCUCGUCUCUACUAAAUACAGAAAAAAUUAGCUGGGCAUGGUGGCAUACGCCUGUAGUACCAGAUACUUGGGAGACUGAGGCAGGAGAAUUGCUUGAACCCAGGAGGCAGAGGCUGCAGUGAGCUGAGAUUGUACCACUGCAGUCUGGCCUGGUGACAGCAAGACUCCAUUUCAAAAAAAACCCCACAGUAUGUGUUUAAUUUUUAAGGGAGGAUCUUACUGUGUCACCCAGACUGGAGUACAGUGAUGUGAUCUCAGCUCACUGCAGCCUUGACCUGCUGGGCUCAAGCAGUCCUCCCACCUCAGUCUUCUGAGUAGCUGGGAAUACAAGCACACACCACCAUGCUCAGCUAAUUUUUAAAUUUUUGUAGAAACUUAUGUUGUCCAGGCUGGUCUUGAACUCCUGGCCUCAAGCAAUCCUGUCAUCCUUAGCUCUUGCGCGUGGCCAACACUUGAUUAAUUAAUGAAAGUCAAGGCCGGGUGCAGUGGCUCAAGCCUGUAAUCCCAGCACUUUCGGAGGCCGAAGGGUAGGUGGAUCACGAGGUCAAGAGAUCGAGACCAUCCUAGUCAACAUGGUGAAACCCUGUCUCUACUAAAAAUACAAAAAAUUAGCUGGGCACGGUGGCGUGUGCCUGUAAUCCUAGCUACUCAGGAGGCUGAGGAAGGAGAAUUGCCUGAACCCAGGAGGCGGAGGUUGUGGUGAGCCAAGAUUGCGCCAUUGCACUCUAACCUAGGUAACGAGCGAAACUCCAUCUCAAAAAAAAAAAAAAGAAAGUCAAAACUACACCAAGAUGCCAUUUCUCACCUAUCAGAUUGAAGAAAAUGCGUCUUUGACAACUACUUCAUUAGUGAGGCCUGAGGGAAGCAAGAAUUUGGGAGGAUAAUCUUUUAGUAAUAUAGAUCCAUUUACUCUUUGAGCUGGUGGUUUCCAUUCUAAGACUGUCUUACCUGUACAUACAAAAUCAGGUAUGUACAGAGUAAUUCAUUUUGGCACUGAUUGCUGAAAACUUCCUGAUUGUCCAGCAAUGGGAGACUGGCUUAAUAACCUAUGUUACGCUGACCCAGGGGGGAGCUGCAAAAAAGACAAGCAUUGAUGUGGAGAAAUUUUGUGGAUGUCUUGUUUCUAUUUUUUCUUUAUUUUUUUAUUUUUUAUUUUUAAAGACAGGGUUUCACCAUGUUGGUCAGGCUGGUCUUGAACUCCCAACCUCAGUGAUCCGCCCAUCUUGGCCUCUGAAGUGGGUUGUCUUGUUGAUAGAAAAAAAAAUCAAGAUGUAAAACAGUUUACAAUACUACCUUUUUAUGAGAAAAAGGAAUGAGAACAUGUACAUGUAUUCGUGUAAGGAAACACUGGAAGGAUAUACAGCAAAUAAAAAUGCUUAUCUGUGGGCAUGAUGGGGACAAGAUACCUGGUGACAAGUUGACAAUGAGACUUUAUGUUUUAUUUUUUGAACUGUGUAAAACUUUUUUUUUUUUAAGCUAUUGUUAAGCUAGAAACAAAAAAUGAGCACGUAGAGUAUAAUCUUGCAUUAGUUAAGAUAACACUUGCUGCUGUACCAAGUCACUACAUGAGCCACAUGAGGCCUUACGUUGCAUUUGUGAGAACUACUCAGUUGGCUCCUCUUGCUUCCACAGCAGGCUUGGAAAUGUAGCCAGCUGGGUAGCCAUUCCUAUCCCCAGCUCUACACUCAGUAGAGAAGGGACAGUACGAGGUUUUGAUGGUCUCCUAGCCAUCUCCACCUUAGGUCCUGGGCCCCUAAUCUGUAUGUUCAGUUUUUCAGAGAGUCAGAGAGCAGCUUCCACUGGCAGUGUGAGAGUGUUUGCCCAGUUGCCAUUUUUAUGUUGUCAUUAUUCUUCUUCACCAAUAAUAUAGGUGAAAAUGGAACCUCAUGGUUUAAUUUGCAUUUCUAUGUGUCAAUUUAGUGCCAUAUGUUUUGGGAACAGGAAAUACCACAAAAUAGCUCUGUAGCCCAUUAGCUAUGGUUAAGAUAUGGUUUCUUGGGCCUGCCAAGUCUCAUGUUGAAAUUUGAUCCUCAUGUUGGAGGUGGGGCCUGGCUGGAGGUUGGAGGUAUCUGGCUCUCCGCGGGGGCAGAUUCCUUAUGAAUGCUUGGUGCUACUCUUAAGGGAAUGGAUGAGUUCUGACUCUGAGUUCCUGUAAAAAUAGCCUGGCACCUUCCCUCCCGCCCUUUCUGAUCUCUGCCUACCAGCUCCCCUGCCUUCCACCCUGAGUGGAGGCAGCCUGAGGCCAUCACCAGAUGUGGAUGUUGGCACCAUGCUUCUUGUCCCAGCCUGCAGAACUGUAAGCCAAAAUAAACCUUUUUUCUUUAUAAAUUAUCCAGCAUCAGGUAUUUUUUUUUUUUUAUGAGACGGAGUUUCGCUCUUGUUACCCAGGCUGGAGUGCAAUGGCGCAAUCUUGGCUCACCGCAACCUCUGCCCCCUGGGUUCAGGCAGUUCUCCUGCCUCAGCCUCCUGAAUAGCUGGGAUUACAGGCACGCGCCACCGUGCCCAGCUAAUUUUUUGUAAUUUUUAGUAGAGACGGGGUUUCACCAUGUUGACCAGGAUGGUCUUGAUCUGUUGACUUCGUGAUCCACCCGCCUCGGCCUCCCAAAGUGCUGGGAUUACAGGCUUGAGCCACCGCGCCCGGCCCAGGUAUUUCUAAUAUAGCAACACAAAAAUGGACUAAGGCACGUUUGUCAUCUGAAGAUAAAUUUCUAGAAUAUUACCUUAUCAUGAGUUUUUGUUUUGUUUAAAUAAAAAGGGAAGGGGAAUGAUUUUGAGAGCUAGUUUAGUAGAGUCUCAGUGUGUCCUUGACCUGGAAGGUUGGAAGGCAGGAAGGCAGGUCCUGGGGCAUGUGAUCUGUUCUGAUGACCAGGCCUGUGGGAUACAGCAGGGAGGAGGAGGUUUUCCUGCUACAUUCUCAGCACAGGGAGCCCUGGGGCUUAGAGAUUCUCAACCGAAUGAUAAUGCAGAUACUUAUGUUCAUUUAUUUAAAGGCUUUUUUGGUGUGUGUCUUCAUAUUAUAAUGAUUCAUGGACAAAUUGGCCACCUAUUGCAUUUAAAAUUAAUUUUGUUUUUAGACGGAGUUUUGCCCUUGUUGCCCAGGCUGGAGUGCAACGUCGUGAUCUUGACUCACUGCAGCCUCCACCUCCUAGGUUCAAGUGAUUCUGCUACCUCAGCCUCACAAGUAUCUGGGAUUACAGGCAUGCGCCACCACGCCCAGCUAAUUUUGUAUUUUAUUGAAGACAGGGUUUCACUCUCUUGGUCAGCCUGGUCUCGAACUCCUGACAUCAGAUAAUCCACCUGCUUCAGCGUCCCAUAGUGCUGAGAUUACAGGCAUGAGCCACCGCGCCCGGCCUUAAAAUUAAAUCUUUUUUUUUUUUUUUGAGACGGAGUUUCGCUCUUGUUACCCAGGCUGGAGUGCAAUGGCGCGAUCUCGGUUCACCGCAACCUCCGCCUCCUGGGUUCAGGCAAUUCUCCUGCCUCAGCCUCCUGAGUAACUGGGAUUACAGGCACGCGCCACCAUGACCAGCUAAUUUUUUGCAUCUUUAGUAGAGACGGGGUUUCACCAUGUUGACCAGGAUGGUCUCGAUCUCUUGACCUCGUGAUCCACCCGCCUCGGCCUCCCAAAGUGCUUGGAUUACAGGCGUGAGCCACCACGCCCGGCUCAAAAUUAAAUCUUGAUUAAAGACUUCCAUCUCAUCAACCAUUAUUAAAAUGAAAAGUAAAAUGUUAAUCAUUUUAUUUACUGCCUGGCACCUAGUGAAUAUUUGAUAAAUAUUUGUUCAAUGGAAAUUCAAAUAAAGAAACAGGACUUUAUAUAUGUUCUCAUAUCUAUAAAAUACUCUGAAUGUUCUAGACAUUAUGAGAUGAGAAAUAGUUAAGAUAAUUAUACAAAAAGUAGGAGUCAAAAAUUUUUUUAUAUAAAAUUUUUUUUUUAAUUAAAAAAAAUUAUUUUUUAAAAAUAUGGAACGCUUCACGAAUUUGCAUGUCAUUCUUGUGCAGGAGCCCUGCUAAUUUUCCCUGUUUCAUUCCAGUUUUAGCAUAUGUGCUGCCACAGCGAGCACUAGGAGGAGUUAAAAUUGCCAAAAGCAAGCACUAGGAGGAGUUAAAAUUGCCAUUGCUUACAGUGACUUUCUACUCAGAAAGCUCCAGUAAAAAUCAACUAAAAAUUCUCAAAACUCAUGCAGUUUGGUAAGAUUUUUUCUUUUCUUUCUUUUUUUUUUUUUGAGAUGAAGUCUCACUCUGUUCCCCAGGCUGCAGUGCAAUGGGGCGAUCUUCGCUCACCGCAACCUCCACCUCCCAGAUUCAAGUGACUCUCCUGCCUUAGCCUCUGGAGUAGCUGGAAUUACAGGCAUGUGCCACCACUCCUGGCUAAUUGUUUUUUUUGUAUUUUUAGUAGAGAUGGGGUUUUUACCAUGUUGGCCAAGCUGGUCUCGAACUCCUGACCUUGGGUGAUCCAUGCCCCUCAGCCCCCAAGAUGCUGAGAUUACAGGUGUGAGCCACUGCGCCUGGGCGUAAGAUUUUCAAAUGCAAAAUAAAUAGACCAAUUGAUAGCUUUCUUAUAUACCAAUAACCAGCUGACUAGAAAGAUGAAACAGGAUAAACUCUUACUUCACAGUAGCAACAGCAACAACAAUACACAUUUAAGAAUUACAUUAGAAAUAUGUAGAAUGGAGUUGGAGGGAGGCAGGUAAAAGAAAAAAAAGGAAACAUGUAGAAUGUCAGCUGGGUGAGGUGGCGCAUUCCUGUAAUCCCAGUGAGCUGAGAUUGCACUACUGCACUCCAGCCUGGGUGAGGGAGUAAGACUCUCAAAAAACAACAACAAAACCAUGGAACAUUUGUCGAGAAGAUCAUUAAACUUUACUAAGAGAUGUAAAAUGAUAUUUAAGUGGAAAGAUAGUUUGUUAUUACACAAGAACAUACAACGUUGAAAAGCUGGUGUUCCUUUUUCAAAUAGACUUCAUGCAGUUCUGCCUGUGGUCGUUCAGCCUCAGCUUCCUAUCUAGGGAAGUCAGAGUGCAUGGGUGUGAGUGAGUCUGCGAACACGGGGAUUCUGCGGCAAGCUUCAGUGUGGACCAAGGACUAGAGGUUCUGCAGCCACGUAGUGUGGGCUUGCAGGGCAGCGGGCCCUGUAUCUUCUGCUGCUAGGCUUACCUUGGCCUGCCUCUAGCUCCCAGCUCUCUCAGAGAUGUGGAAGAUGGUUGGGGGUUCUCCACACUGCUUUCUAAACUUUAACAUACUUCUGCUUUUAGUGUAUCUGGCGUUUCGUAGUCCAGUCCAUCUAUGGUUUACCCUCUGCAGAGAAUAAAUCUUCAGUCUCCUGAUGGAUUGGGGCAGUGACCCCACUCUUUUCGGUGAGCUAGAAGCCCAAGGGGUUUUUCCAGUUUUCAUUCUGAUUCUGACCUCCACCUGAUCUCCCACCACAGGUACCUGGUGCUGUUGGUUCAUGUGCCUUGUCUUCCCCCGUACUGGUUUUGGACUUUUCUGAACCUGUCACCUUAACUUCUGGACUUCUGUUGUUCAGCUUCUAACAUGGUCUCUCCUCUCAUUCUUGACCACUGUGCAAUUACGUCCUUCUAAAAUUUUACUGUCAUUUUAGUGGGGUUUUAAGAUGUGAAACAGUUAUGUCUACUGUCUUUAGCCUCAAACAUAAAAAUGUAACGUGUGGCUGGGCACGGUGGCUCAUAACUGUAAUCCCAGGACCUUGGGAGGCCGAGGCGGGCAGAUCACGAGGUCAGGAGUUCAAGACCAGCCUGGUCAAUAUGGUGAAACCCUGUCUUUACUAAAAAUACAAAAAUUAGCCGGGCAUGGUGGCACGUACUUGUAAUCCCAUCUGCUUGGGAGGCUGAGGCAGGAGAAUUGCUUGGGCCUGGGAGGCGGAGUUUGCAGUGAGCCAAGAUCGUGUCACUGCACUCUAGCCUGGGUAACAAGAGUGAAACUCCGUCUCAGAAAAAAAAAAAAAAGAAAAAGAAAAAGUUCUUGGCGAGGCACAGUGGUUCACGCCUAUAAUACCAGCACUUUUGGGAGGCUAAGAGGAUCGCUUGAGGCCAGGAGUUUGAGACCAGUCUAGGCAACGUGGUGAAACCCUGUCUCUACUAAAAAUACAAAAACUUGCCAGGCAUGGUGGUGCACACCUGUAGUUCCCAGCUACUUGGAAGGCUAUGGCACAAGAAUCGCUUGAACCUGGGAGAUGGAGGUUGCAGUUAGCUGAGAUCGUGCCACUGUACUCCAGUCUGGAUGACAGAGCGAAAUUCUAACCCCUCUUCCUCCCCCCAAAAAGUUAUAUGUCAGUUAGAGGAUAAUAAGAGAUAUUUUGUCAUUAAUCACAAUGAUUAGAACAGCAUGUUAUUCUGAUUUUUUAAAAUGCAUAGAAGAAGCAGUGAAAUAGAAAUGUUAUAUGCAAUUUUUUACAAAGGAAGCAUCAUUAAUACAUGCUAGGGUAAUUGUGUAGUUGUUUGGGUAAAAAUAGUUUUGUCAUCUCAUAUAUGCUAAAGUAAUUCCAGAUUAACAGUAACUGUUGUUAAGGUUUUGGUUAUAACUUUUCACACUGUGUAUACACCUGUAUAUUUUGUAUUUUUACAUACUAUUCUAUAAGCUGUAAAACCACUAUAUUCUGGAUUUUCAUGCAGGUCUUCAGAUAGAGAGGGCAUUGCGUUGAAUGACUACGUAGCACCUGCUUAUCCCAUUGUUUCAGACCUCCCUUGGAACUGGUAUGGCACAGUACUGUCUAACCCUGAAGGGUGUUCUGGAGGGGUGGCUGGUGUGGACAAGGGGACCAAGUCCACAUGAGCCUGGAGUGGCAUGUUAUAUACUCUGCGCAGGUCUCCUGCCUGCUCCUAUCCCAAGGCCUGCGGACAUGGAGUUUGCACCUUUGUUGCCUCUUCGUGGUACUCACUGUGUUUUGACACAUACUGAGGUGUACAGGUGAUGGUGCUAGCCUGCUUGUACAGAGGCAAAGAGGGACAAAAUGCAGACCAGUUAGAAAACAGGCAGUAGUGUUAGGAGGCCUUCACAAACUUCACUCUUGCCCAGGAAAGACCAGCAGUUGGUGGAAUGGUAGCAGGAAGAAACUCCUCCCUGCAGCAUAUGACUUAAGGGAAAUUUUAGAAGAAUAAUCAUUGACUUUGCCAGUAAAGAUCCUAUGGUGUGCACCCAGCAUCCUUGGACUAAAUGGGCUUAUUGUUUAUUUAAUCAGCUUCCUAUUGAUGGACAAUUGGCUUCUUUCCAGUGCUUCUUGCUGUUAUUAGCAACUUUCUUAUGUCUAACUUUUGUUCCUUUGUCAAAAGUGCCCAGUUAUUUAGGAUAAUUUGAGAUUUAAUGGGUCAAAGAGCAUGAAUAUUUAAAAUUUUGAAACUGUUGCCAAGGUGACUUCCAACAAGAUUGGGAAGUUUUGCCCUCCUACCCAAAAGCGUUUCAGUGCCCAUUUCCCCCACUCCUGCCUUCAUGAGAUGAUAUUAUUAUUAUUAUUAUUAUUAUUAUUACUGUUUUUGAGACAGGAUCUCACUCUGUCACCCAAGCUGGAGUGCAGUGGCAUGGUCUUGGCUCACUGCAGUCCUCAGCUUCCCAAGUAACUGGAACUACAGGCACGUGUCACGGCACCCAGCUAAUUUUUGUAUUUUUUGUAGAGGCAGGGUUUUGCCGUGUUGUCCAGGCUGGUCUCGAACUCCUGGGCUCAUGUGAUCCUGCUGCCUUGUUCUCCCAGAGUGCUGGAAUUACAGGUGUGAGCCACUGCCCUGGCCAUUGGGUGAUAUUAUCAUUGAUGUCUGCAAGUUGAUGCAUGAGAAUCAAACUUGUGUGAUGUUUGCCUCUCAUAUGUAUGUUGCCUAAGAUUUCUAUCACUUGAAUCUUGAAAGUUUUUUAAUAAAUUCUUACUUUCCCUUGAACAUAUUUUGAAUGGUCCAAGUUGUGUUUAAGAAACUCGUGUUAUCCUAUGGAACCAGUUUUUCUACCUAAUGAGAAAGUGGUUCAUGAUAGAAACUGCAGACUUCAUUCAUCAGCUACCCGUACUUCUUGAGCAUCCAAGUUCUGGGCACUGGUUAUAGAAAAUCAACAAGAGCUGUGUGGUACUUAUUUGUGGGGAGACAUUCUGUCCAUGAUGAUAGAGAUAAGUGUUUUGUUGCAGACUGAAGGGAAAAGAGGAGUCUGACAGACAUGGUGAGAGAGCCUCAUUAGGCUGGGUGGCCAGGGGACUUUGGAGAAUAGCAGUGAAGCUUAUGUCUGGAGGGGGCAGAAGAUUAGGGGCCCCUGCGAGAGACUGAAAGGCGUUAGAGAGUCAGGGGCUGGGUGAGCAAGCGCUAGAGAGGGGGCAGCAGCAUGGGGCACAGGGUCCUGGAUCAAUUUUAGAGGCCCUUGGUGGGGUUGUGGGGGCAUGCCCGCAGAGUCGCUGGGGUCUGGGAAGAAGAUAUCAGGCCUUCUAAUUCUAUUUCCCCAACCUCUGAGAAGACCUCUUUAGUUCAGUUUAUUGCGUCUUUCAUUGUUCAUUUGUAGAGAGCAGAGUCUUGUUACACUGUCCAGGCUUGCCUUGAGCUCCUGGCCAGGUGCUUGCACUGUGCAGCCUCAUUGUGCUGCUCACUGCCCAGUCCUCAUUCAAGAUCACGCCUCGCUAAGCAUUUUCCUUCCUUCCUCAUUCAUACGCGCAGCAGCCCAUUAGGGCAGAUUCCAUCACAGUCAGAGGCCCCGAGACCCUUCCACCACUCCUUCCACCUGACACUCUGCCACAGUGCUCCUGGUGCUCCGCAGGGCUUUUAAUGUCUUCAGACUGAGGGCCCAGCACUGUCUUCCCUAUCAGAGGAAUGAGGAUAGGUUGCUCAGUGACCCUGGACAGUAGGGAAAGGAGAUCACUGUCAAACUGGGAGCAGGAGCACUGGCAUCUGCUACACUCCCUACGCAGCUGCUGUUCAGCGAGGCCCUGCAGGCCUACGCCUCCGAGUUAUGUCUAAGGGAUGUUCACAGAGGGACCCCCUCCCCAUCAGGAGAGUGUGCAAGAGCAGUGAUGGGAAAGCCAUCUGCCACCUCAGGAAGCAGACAGGUGGCCAUCCUCCUGGCUGAGCUAAUAGAAGAGCCUCUUGCAGGCACCAAGUGUUUAUUGAUAAGUGACAUCCUAAGAAGCCCGAUGACCCUUGUGGGAAGCAGAACCUCAGCAUUCUCACGUUUGAGAAUGGAGACCUAGAGGAGCUACCACGAAGGCCUGGCCCUGGGUGUGUUUUUUCCCUUGCAGUUUUGUAGAUGCUGUUUGAUGGGAAGGCUCUACAUAGCACACUUAGGGUUUGCCCUUCUUCGUCACCUCCAAGCACAGGAGCUGCAUCAGUAGAAACAGGCUUCGUCAAUACAGAUGAUCUUGUGGGCUCCCUGGGUUGUUAGAUUGGCUUCGGUUCUUUCAGGGAAGGACUCUGUGUCUGCCCAUCAGUGCCUCCUGUUAUUGGCCUAGUUUCACAGCUCAACGACUGCAAAUGGAAGUCAGCCUUCUGAAAUAUAAAUGACAACUUUUAUUUGGUGGCAUACAGUGAAACAUUUUUUUCUUUAAAAAUGCUCUUUAGGACAGGACACGGUGGCUCACGCCUGUAAUCCCAGCACUUUGGGAGGCCGAGGCAGGUGGAUCACGAGGUCAAGAGAUUGAGACCAUCCUGGUCAACAUGGUGAAACCCCGUCUCUACUAAAAAAAAAUACAAAAAAAUAGCUGGGCAUGGUGGUGCAUGCCUGUAAUCCCAGCUACUCAAGAGGCGGAGGCAGGAGAAUUGCCUGAACCCAGGAGGCGGAGGUUGCGGUGAGCCGAGAUCGCGCCAUUGCACUCCAGCCUGGGCAACAAGAGCGAAACUCCGUCUCAAAAAAAAAAAAAUUUCCUCAAAGAAAAUGUUUUACUCUUAGCAGGAAAUGGUAAGAGUAAAACAAAAAGGGGGAAGUGGCAGCAGAAAGCUUUUUAGAUUCAUUUUUUUUUUCUAUAUUGUCCUUAAAACUGGGGACAGGGUUUGUUUUUUAAAAUCUUCGUUUGUUGUCUGCGUAUUUUCCUUUGACAGGAAAUAGUAGGGAAUGGAAUUGCCCUUGUUGUCUUGAAGGGCUGCAUUAAGUGUCAUCCAGCCUGCAGGUCGUCAAGAUGGGAAACUCCAGGUGUGUACAUGCACUAUGUGGCACCAGUGAAUCCAGUAAUGCCCAGAACACCCCACUGUAGCUUAGCAGGAAUGUGCUGCAUUAUUUGAGAGUGGAGACCCCCUAGCGUGAUCGUACCUUUCCUUUCUCUGUCUCCUGAUUCAAAUACAAAGUCAUUGACAGUUCAGACUUCUUACGAAAUAAUGUGUUUGUUCUUCAAAGUGGUUUAAUUAUACCUGAGUAUCUCUUUAGAAAGCACAGAAAGAGAAGAAAAAGAGAUAGGAAAGAGAAAGCAAAGUCAGAUAAGAGAUGGGAUAGACGUGAUUGGGGAAGUAUGACAGCUGAAAGCUAAGGAAACCAGACAAGUUAAUUUUUUUUCUAAAAUAACAUUUAAAAAAAUAAUAACAAUUCCAUCUUGUAUAGGAUUUUAUUGCACUUAAUAGUUUGGCUUGUCAGAUUUCUGUUGGUGUCACUGUCUUUCUCCCCUCAUUUAGGAUCCUUCGGUUGCAAAUGGUGAACGAAGAGUGUCCUCAUCAUUGCCAUCAGGAAGGAUGGCCUUGUCCAGUUCCAGUGGGCAGUGCAUUGGCACUUGCUUGUUUCCUGGAUGCAUCACAGUGAGUCUGAGUUGGAAGGAUCACAGUCAGUCUCCCGUUAAGAGCAUGGGGUCUGCCUGCUGGGUGCUUUGGUACCCAAGGUCAAUCACCAACCUGACUGGAGAUCUUCCCAGAGCAGGAGGUUUGUGGCAGCUGACUGUGGUAAAGUUCUACUUUGGUCAGAUAAGGGAAGUUCAGAUAAGAUGUCUUCAUGCAUUUGCUAUGAUUCUGUUAACAGGUUUCUCUGGGAUCCCUAAGAGAGGGUCCACUCAGUCUGUUGAGGGGCUUAGGAAUUUAUAUUUGGUUUACAACUUAGAUGUGUUCAUUUUUGAAGUAUUAUUUGUACCAUUCUUGUCAGUCCCCACAUACCUCCAUUUGAAACUUCCCAAGAAGUCUCACAAAAGAGCUGGGUUGAUUGCUGUAGUAGAAGUCUUAGGUUAGAAAUUGAGAGGUAAGAGAUCUGCAGGGGAAAAAAGAACAUAGACUGGAAUGAGGAUACGAAAAGAAAAUAAAGGUUAAUGCUUGGAGCAGAGUGUAAAACCAGUUCUUGAUUCCAUAGGGCAGUCAAGACUUUUUAACAUUGGGCUCAAAUCAUUUUUAGCUGGUGGAGUGAGAGCAGCAGUGGCGAUUGGAUGAUUUUCCUGAUUGAAGUUUGAAUGUUUUUGGUAGUGGCAUCCCAUACAUGAUCUCUUGUGCUGAUGAGUCCUUUGAAGUUUAUGCAGAGUUGAUCAGAUUCAACCUGCAGGACUUGUAUCAGUCCCAAACUGGCUACCCAUGAGCUAAAUACAGCCAGCAGAGUAUCUUUUCUUGUCUAGCCAGGCUUUUUGUGUUUUGUUUUUUUUUUUAGGGAGGGAAGGAGGAAGGGAG
Long non-coding RNA from Callithrix jacchus (white-tufted-ear marmoset), 21143 nucleotides. RefSeq lists it as uncharacterized. NCBI's taxonomy places the organism in Eukaryota, Metazoa, Chordata, Mammalia, Primates, Cebidae. The record is from RefSeq and is a predicted model, not a curated record.